UACGGAGGGUGCAAGCGUUAUCCGGAUUUACUGGGUUUAAAGGGUGCGUAGGUGGGUUGGGAAGUCAGUGGUGAAAUACUUUCGCUUAACGAAGGAACUGCCAUUGAUACUAUCAAUCUUGAAUGUAGUGGAGGUAGGCGGAAUGCGUCAUGUAGCGGUGAAAUGCUUAGAUAUGACGCAGAACACCAAUUGCGAAGGCAGCUUGCUACACUACUAUUGACACUGAGGC
This 229-nucleotide ribosomal RNA is filed under the name uncultured bacterium. Its description in RNAcentral is "partial 16S ribosomal RNA". It matches the Rfam family "Bacterial small subunit ribosomal RNA", at positions 524 to 752 of the family's 1533-position model. The record is from RNAcentral.